Molecule: ribosomal RNA, 253 nt
Filed under: uncultured bacterium
Lineage: Bacteria
Description: partial 16S ribosomal RNA
Rfam family: Bacterial small subunit ribosomal RNA
Source: RNAcentral
UACGAAGGGUGCAAGCGUUACUCGGAAUUACUGGGCGUAAAGCGUGCGUAGGUGGUUGUUUAAGUCUGUUGUGAAAGCCCUGGGCUCAACCUGGGAACUGCAGUGGAAACUGGACAACUAGAGUGUGGUAGAGGGUAGCGGAAUUCCCGGUGUAGCAGUGAAAUGCGUAGAGAUCGGGAGGAACACCGGCGGCGAAGGCGGGUCUCUGGGCCAUAACUGACGCUGAGGAGCGAAAGCGUGGGGAGCGAACAGG